Molecule: non-coding RNA, 4454 nt
Organism: Salmo salar (Atlantic salmon)
Lineage: Eukaryota; Metazoa; Chordata; Actinopteri; Salmoniformes; Salmonidae
Source: RefSeq, a predicted model, not a curated record
UCUGUGCUGCAUGACAUUCGACCGACAGUAUAUUCGCCGCUCGAGAGACGGAACCAGGGGGACACGUUGUAGACCUCCAGAACUAUUUUACAGUGAUGCGUUUGCGACAGUAGGGUAGAUGAGAGCUGGGAUCACUCAAAACGGGAGAACGAGCAGAACGCGAAAGUAAACGGCAGUUUAUGUCAUGUUUGGAAGUUUUGACAGAUCUCGUAAAACAGAGUAUAUACAUUGAAUGUUAUUGUAAGCACAAUUCUGGGGUUGACAUACAGUAGGAGUGGGAGUUUCUGUAGUCGCAUGUUCCCCUUUUCCAAUGGACACGCAUUUGGAGACCCCUGGUACACCAAGUAGACCUAUGGAAUUACUUCUGUAAUGUGGAUUGCAAUUUUAUUUGAAAAAAAUAAAGGUCUACUUCAGAACAAUGUGAGAAGAUACGCGUCCUGGAUUUUCAUGUUUCUGGAUAUCUUGAAAAUUAUUGGCAACAGCUGAAAGUCGCUAUGCUCAAGGGAUUUCUGCUCAGGUGUCUUGCCUGCUCCGACCGUGGGACCAAAAUGGAUUUGACGCCACUGCAACCCCCCGUCCCCCAUUAACAGAAGUUCUAACAGUUCUUACACUUUGUUAUUAACCUACGGUUUUAAAUUUGACAAAUGCUUUGGAAGAAAUCGCAAGACGACCAGCAUGGAUUUUAAAUCGACAUUUGCAUUUGGAAUUUCAAUCAUGAACUUUGUUGACAGUUUGAUAACCUUAUUUCUCCUGACGCUUCUGUAUUUGUCAGCUGUCAAGAGUGCCCACAUACCGAAAGAAGGAUGGAGGAUUUCGCAUGACGGCGUCCCAGGCUACAAUGUUUUUAGUGCUUCAGUGCAGAAGGUACCAAGCUUUGUGGGGCUGAGAGAGGGAUUGAAAGAGGGAGUCAGUACAGAAGCAUACCAGAGCCACAGUGAGAGAGGAAAUGAGAGAGACACCUUGAUGGUGAUAUCCUUCAUGGAGGUGUACAAUAAGAGCCUAUGUCAGCCCAGGGAGCUGCUGGUAGAGAUCGCACAGGAGUACCCAGAGGAGGUAGAACAUAUCUUCAUCCCAUCCUGUGUGGUGCUGACGCGCUGCGCAGGAUGCUGCAACGAUGAGAUGCUAGAGUGCACGCCAACCUCCACGCAUAACAUAACCAUGGAGAUAAAAAGAAUAAAACCCCAAAGGCAAGAAAAUGAUAUCUUUAUGAGUUUUACAGAACACAGUGCAUGUGAAUGCAGGCCAAAGAAAGAAGUGAAAGAACAGAGACAAAAAAAACCCCGGAAAGGCAAGGGCAAAGGCCAAAAGAGAAAGCGAAAGAAAAACCAUGACCAAAAGAAUCGUGAAGCGUAUGUCAGCUCGGCCUUCUCCUCUCCCAACCUGCACUUGAGUGUGGCACUUCUGAUUGUUAAGCUUAUUUGGGAGGAGUUAAUUUGCCCCUUUUUAAUUAAUUAAUUUGCUCACUCACUAUUCACAGCCCCACCACUCCACCCAAUACCACCACAUGCAUCAAUUGGCAUGAAGUUUUUCUGAACCCCCACCCCACCGGAGUAGGUAGAAGUCGUCCCUGAAUAAUAAAUAACAUCUGAUCCUAUAUCUAUGGUUAGGGGUGACUUCAACCUCAAAUCACUACAACUCACGCGAUUCGCCCAUAACCCUGCCUCCAUACCUCACUGCCACCCUCACCCCACCCCCCGGUGAUAAGGAACCCUAGGGAGGGAUGGAGGGAAAGUAUGGAAUGAUAGGGUAAAGAGAACAGAACUGAACCAACCAGCAUGGCUUUUUGCUGACGAUCUUACUAAUCCGGUAUCUGUUGUGGGGAUCAUCCAAGGCCUACAUCAGUGUUGAGUCUGUCUCGCUUUGCUGUGUCUCACACUCGCCAUUUUCCCCCUUUCUUCUUCUGUUUCUUUUCAUCUCUCCAAACAGGUUUUUGCUGUUCCGUCUGCCAUAUCUGGGCUUUGUUUGCAAUGUGAGCAUAUGAGAGAUGGCAAUCACAUUGUUGUUUCUUUCUGGGUUAUGUAAACCAACAACUUGUUUAGCCCGUUCUAUUUGUGCGUUCUUUUUGUCUCCAUGGGUCUCAACAACAAAAAUGUUUAGUUUUCAAUAGAAAGAGUUGCUCAUGUUUCUGCAAUGGGUUUAAUGUCAAAUAAUAGAGUUGUUCUGUUCACAUUGCUGUUCCUUUAGUUCUCAAUGGAAUGUCUGUCUGUCAUCCCCCCAUACUCUGUGAAAAUGGUUUGGUCCACUAUCAACCCCUCUGUGUGGAAACAGAAUGGUACAGUCUCUCUAGUGUUCUUUGUCAUUUAAACCAGAUCUAUUCUCUUAUCUACUGGUUCUCUAUCUAAUCUGUGUCUACAGGUGUAGGAUCUUAACUUGAGCCAGUUUGCUACAGCAGGAAAAUAAUCUUCCAGCAACAGGAAAUGUGGAUUAUAAUUAAUGGGUUCAUACAUUUUUCGUUACGGCAAAUCAAGUCUGAAAUUUUAACUCGCACUGCAAGUUUUCCUGCUGUGCAGGAAAGUUCUCAGCAACAAAUGAGUGAUCAUAUUAAGAUCAUACAUCUGAAUGGGAAAAACAAUACUUUUAAUAUUUUAAUUCAAUAAAAUCGAAUCCUGUAUCUUUACGCACAAAGACGACCUCUGAGUUUUAUUUGACUAUGUAAAAAGAGAGUUUUGGGAUGUGUUGAAUUUGACAGUGUUUUGUGUUGUAAGCCUCACGUCCCUGCCAAAGCUUGCUGGUGCAUGUCUAACCGAAACAAUGCAUACUAUACGUGGGCCAGCCAAUCAUCAGGAAUCACUCCCCCUACCACCCUACGAGACAGUAGGAGGAGGUCACCCUGCCACCAUAGGAUGAGUUGGGGAGAGGGCGAUGGUUUUGGGGUCAGUGCAAGCCAUGUUGUGAUGGCUGUUCAGAGAGGAGGAAGCAGGGGUUCAUCCAGGACCCUCUGACCUGCCAGUGUUCCUGCAGAAACUCCAAUGCCCACUGCCGGGCGCGUUACCUGGAGCUCAACGAGAGGACCUGCAGAUGUGACAAGCCAAGAAGAUGAGAGGCCAAACUUCAGAUGGCAUGAUGGAAUAUUCACAAGAUGUUUCACAGCUCAGCACUUUGAACUUUAAACUCGAAGCUCAUUUUCUCUGUGGAAAGCAUUCAUCUGGACUGACUGAGAAACAGCAGAGAGAGAAGAGAAAGAAAAUGAACAGACAGAAAAAUCAUCCCAAUGUAGAUCUGUAUAUACUAAAGUAUAUACUAAAAGUACAGAAUUUUUAUUGCUGCUAAAAGAAAACUAACUAAAACCCAUCAUUAUAAAAAAAGCAAACAGCUGUGUGGUUUUGUAUUUCACUGGCGUGUGACCGGACUGCAGUUUUGUUGUAAUUUCAUUUAUGCUAAUUCUUCACUGGAUAUAUAUGAGUGGUUAUGUGUCGAAUCAGAAACAACAACCUAGCUAUGUGAUACAUAUAUCAGCAGAAAAGAGGAGGAAGAGAAGAAGGGAGAACAUUCUUGGAGGGAUGGAAAGUACUGACCCAUAGACUCCCGUUGCAGGAACCCAAUUGCAAUGGCAGGACAGCCAAUGGGAAAACGGGGAUCUGUCCCUUUGUGACAAUUUAUUUGACCUGAAAGCAAGUUCUAGAACUGAUGCGUAGAACUUGUGGAAUGCUAGAACUGUUUCUUUUGCUGCCCUUUCUAGCAGUGGAACUGGAUUUGGAGUGCCAUAAUACUUCUAAAGGGAUACUGAUGAUUGAUUUUGGUAUACAUGGAAACCUCUAGAAACAACUGAUACUGUAGCUUGAUUCCAUUGAGAAACUGUGCCUCACAAACUGUGCUGAUCACUUCAGAGUGAGAAAUCCUGAAUCUGCUUCUUAAAUUAUUUAAUUUUUUCAGAGGGGAGGGGGAUGGUACACUGUCUGCGGUUGAACUCAAUACAGAAUGCAAUAGUAUCGAUGGCAAGCUGUCUAUCUGUAUAUAUACUAUACAUACUUAAUAUCCCUUAUGUCAUAGUCCGCUAUAGAUAAUUUAUAAUGUUAGAGUAUUUUCAGUAUUCAGUCCUCUACCCGUAUUUAAUUUGAUCUAUUUAUAUAUACAGUGUUAUGUUCUUUUGGGUUUCCCCCCUCCCCGCUAUGUGAUGUCAUUAUCGUCUCCUCUCUGCCUAGCUACAAGGAGACACUGCUCUUGGCUUUUAUAAGAAAAGAAAAUCUUUAUGUAAACAUUCCUCAAAUGGAUCAUUUGUAUGGACGGCCUAUUUAGGGUGGGGGUGCUGUGUGUGUGUGUGUGUGUGUGUGUGUGUGUGUGUGUGUGUGUGUGUGUGUGUGUGUGUGUGUGUGUGUGUGUGUGUGUGUGUGUGUGUGUGUGUGUGUGUGUGUGUGUGUGUGUGUGUGUGUGCGUGCGUGCGUUUUAGGCAGAGUAGGCUUAUGCUUGUCUUGAGCUCCACCGCGCAAAUAACAAUAAACCCUUGUUAAAAGAAA